RNAcentral lists this ribosomal RNA (494 nucleotides) under uncultured bacterium. Its description in RNAcentral is "partial 16S ribosomal RNA". It matches the Rfam family "Bacterial small subunit ribosomal RNA", at positions 28 to 507 of the family's 1533-position model. The record is from RNAcentral.
GACGAACGCUGGCGGCGUGCUUAACACAUGCAAGUCGAACGGAAAGGCCUGCUUUCCCUUGUGGAUUGCGGGUACUCGAGUGGCGAACGGGUGAGUAACACGUGAGUGAUCUGCCCCCAACUUGGGUAUAAGCCUGGGAAACUGGGUCUAAUUCCCGAUAGGACUGCAGGGUGGUGCCUGUGGUGGAAAACGAUUUUCUAGUGGUUGGGGAUGAGCUCGCGGCCUAUCAGCUUGUUGGUGGGGUAAUGGCCUACCAAGGCGGCGACGGGUAGCCGGCCUGGGAGGGUGGACGGCAACAUUGGGACGGAGAUACGGCCCAGACUCCUACGGGAGGCAGCAGUGGGGAAUAUUGCACAAUGGGCGGAAGCCUGAUGCAGCGACGCCGCGUGGGGGAUGACGGCCUUCGGGUUGUAAACUCCUUUCGACCGCGAGGAAGCCACCUGGUUGGAAGGGUGGUGACGGUAGUGGUAGAAGAAGCACCGGCUAACUACGUG